RNAcentral lists this transfer RNA (74 nucleotides) under Chthoniobacterales bacterium. Its description in RNAcentral is "tRNA-Pro". It matches the Rfam family "tRNA". Rfam says of the family: Transfer RNA (tRNA) molecules are approximately 80 nucleotides in length. Their secondary structure includes four short double-helical elements and three loops (D, anti-codon, and T loops). The record is from RNAcentral. RNAcentral also lists the same sequence under 1 other name. Lineage: Bacteria; Pseudomonadati; Verrucomicrobiota; Spartobacteria; Chthoniobacterales.
CGGGGCGUAGCUUAGCUUGGUAGAGCGCCUGCUUUGGGAGCAGGAGGUCGCUGGUUCGAAUCCAGUCGCCCCGA